This 395-nucleotide long non-coding RNA is filed under the name Ananas comosus (pineapple). Its description in RNAcentral is "long non-coding RNA (ACOM_LNC008398)". Lineage: Eukaryota; Viridiplantae; Streptophyta; Magnoliopsida; Poales; Bromeliaceae. The record is from RNAcentral.
UUUAAUUUUUUUUGGUAAGAAUGUAUGUAAGUUAUCUGAAUUAUGGACCGCUUGGCUUUGACUAUUCAACUUUUUAAAAUUUUGAUUUUAGUAUUCAAAUUUUCAAUUUGUUUGAUUUAGAUCAGUUAAUAGCACACUAAUUUUUAAAUUUGAAUGUAUCAUUUAUUUGUACAAGUUUAGUUAGUAUACUUUAUUUAAUUCUUACAAUUAUAAAUUUCCUUGAAAAAAUAAUUAACAUAAAUUUUAAAAUUAAAAUAAUAUUCACUGACUCAAAUUAAAUAAAUUAAAAAUUUAGAUAAUAAAAUUAAAUUUCCAAACGUGAGGUCGUCGAUUUAAAAUGAUCUAUAGCUCAGAUAAGUUUUUAUAUAUAUCUAGCUCUAUUUUUUUUAUUAAAA